GCCGGGGUGGCCGAGUGGCCUAAGGCGUCGGGCUGCAGUGGUCAACUAGCCUUAGACACCCGAUUUAUCCCGGGUUCGAAUCCCGGCCCCGGCU
This 94-nucleotide transfer RNA is filed under the name Thermofilum adornatum. RNAcentral's name for it is "Thermofilum adornatus tRNA". It matches the Rfam family "tRNA". Rfam says of the family: Transfer RNA (tRNA) molecules are approximately 80 nucleotides in length. Their secondary structure includes four short double-helical elements and three loops (D, anti-codon, and T loops). Lineage: Archaea; Thermoproteati; Thermoproteota; Thermoprotei; Thermofilales; Thermofilaceae. The record is from Rfam by way of RNAcentral.